CGCCUCUUGAAUAAAUAUAAGAGGUCCAGCCUGCCCAGUGACUCUGUUCAACGGCCGCGGUAUCCUAACCGUGCGAAGGUAGCGUAAUCACUUGUUCUUUAAAUGAGGACUAGUAUGAAUGGCACCACGAAGGUUAUACUGUCUCCUCUCUCUAAUCAGUGAAACUAAUCUCCCCGUGAAGAAGCGGGAAUAAACAUAUAAGACGAGAAGACCCUAUGGAGCUUUAAACUACGUAACACUUGCACCACCACAACACAAAUUUCAGAAAAAUCUCUCCAACACAUGCAAGCUUAUUACCAGUUUUAGGUUGGGGUGACCGCGGAGCAAAAAACAACCUCCACAUUGAAAGGAAUUUACUCCUUAGCCAAGAGCCACACCUCCACGCACCAUUAUAAUGACAUUAAUUGACCCAAUAUUUUGAUCAACGAACCAAGUUACCCUAGGGAUAACAGCGCAAUCCAUUUCAAGAGCUCCUAUCGACAAAUGGGUUUACGACCUCGAUGUUGGAUCAGGGUAUCCCGGUGGUGCAGCCGCUACCAAAGGUUCGUUUGUUCAACGAUUAAAACCCUA
Molecule: ribosomal RNA, 570 nt
Filed under: Espadarana prosoblepon (emerald glass frog)
Lineage: Eukaryota; Metazoa; Chordata; Amphibia; Anura; Centrolenidae
Description: partial 16S ribosomal RNA
Rfam family: Bacterial large subunit ribosomal RNA
Source: RNAcentral